GGCCCCCGGCGCCCCCGCGGCGGCCCCGCCGGCUCAUCCGGGCGAGCGUCGGCGGACACGCGCUGGAAGAUUGCUAUUUUUAACAUUUCCAUAUUGUUUACCGUGGGGAAAAAUCCCACAAUUCCUUGCACAAAAAUGCAUAAAUAAUAUUAAAUGAGCUGCCGACAUACAAAGGGACUUUUGUAGUCUCCUUUCCUGCUGGCGGAGGGGGAACUGUCACUUACACUUGACUUUGGUAACCUGGCAGAUUCCUGACUUAACCGCAGAGCUGGCGCGCAGGACCCUCCUCCCGUAGACACUCCCUAGCAGCCUGUGCAGCGUCACAUUUGAGGGUCAGACAGACUGUUCCAUGACCUAAUGCCUCUACUGUAAAGAAUGUGUCCCCUGAGAAUCGCAGCCACCAGAAGAAAGUGACACAUUCCAAGUAACCCAGAGGAAAAUGGGUAACACUGGUUUGGCAAAGGAAUUUGAAGAGCGGCACUCAUGGUUGGAGCUGUCUCAGCACAGCAAAACAAGAAGACAUGUAAAAGGAUAAUAGUGGAGGAAACCAGCCACCCUCUCCAACGUUCUGAUUGCUUACAAACAGGGGAAGAACUUCAAAUAUCUACCCAGUGUCUUCCUUUUGACCUUUGGAAGGAAAGCAAGAGCUUCGAAAGGAACUCCCACGACACCUGCUUCUCCUCAUGGAGCAUGAGGGUUUUCCCCAUCUCUUUCCCUAAAAGCCACAGAUACAAGUCCAGCAACUCCUCGUGCAAAGCAGCCAGGAGCAGCUCAGCCCUGAAAAAAACAGAAUGUACAACGAAGGGUGGACCGGUCGGGCGCCCCACUCCGGGGGCAGGCUCCGCAGCCAGCGAUCGGAAUGGAUUUAGGAUCGAGAAGAUCCGCAAAGGCGAGCGUCCACCGGGGCUGGAGACGGCCGAGUGCGGGCGUGCGGCCUUUCUUCCCCGGCGGGCGGAAACCUCCUUUCCACGGUGGCAACAACUCCUGGAAAACAGAAAAUCGCGCGAGCAGGAGAGCGGCGGCGCCUGCCUGCG
Canis lupus familiaris (dog) is the source of this 1034-nucleotide long non-coding RNA. RefSeq lists it as uncharacterized. The record is from RefSeq and is a predicted model, not a curated record. Lineage: Eukaryota; Metazoa; Chordata; Mammalia; Carnivora; Canidae. The transcript has 3 exons.